This 468-nucleotide ribosomal RNA is filed under the name uncultured bacterium. Its description in RNAcentral is "partial 16S ribosomal RNA". It matches the Rfam family "Bacterial small subunit ribosomal RNA", at positions 28 to 507 of the family's 1533-position model. The record is from RNAcentral.
GACGAACGCUGGCGGCGUGCUUAACACAUGCAAGUCGAACGGAAAGGCCCUGCUUUUGUGGGGUGCUCGAGUGGCGAACGGGUGAGUAACACGUGAGUAACCUGCCCUUGACUUUGGGAUAACUUCAGGAAACUGGGGCUAAUACCGGGUAGGAGCUCCUGCUGCAUGGUGGGGGUUGGAAAGUUUCGGCGGUUGGGGAUGGACUCGCGGCUUAUCAGCUUGUUGGUGGGGUAGUGGCUUACCAAGGCUUUGACGGGUAGCCGGCCUGAGAGGGUGACCGGCCACAUUGGGACUGAGAUACGGCCCAGACUCCUACGGGAGGCAGCAGUGGGGAAUAUUGCACAAUGGGCGGAAGCCUGAUGCAGCAACGCCGCGUGCGGGAUGACGGCCUUCGGGUUGUAAACCGCUUUCGCCUGUGACGAAGCGUGAGAGACGGUAAUGGGUAAAGAAGCACCGGCUAACUACGUG